GUGCUGAUAUGGCUCAGUUGGUAGAGCGCACCCUUGGUAAGGGUGAGGUCCCCAGUUCGACUCUGGGUAUCAGCAC
This 76-nucleotide transfer RNA is filed under the name Escherichia coli. RNAcentral's name for it is "tRNA-Thr". It matches the Rfam family "tRNA". From Rfam's summary of the family: Transfer RNA (tRNA) molecules are approximately 80 nucleotides in length. Lineage: Bacteria; Pseudomonadati; Pseudomonadota; Gammaproteobacteria; Enterobacterales; Enterobacteriaceae. The record is from RNAcentral.